GACGAACGCUGGCGGCGUGCCUAAUACAUGCAAGUUGAGCGAUGAAGAUUGGUGCUUGCACCAAUUUGAAGAGCAGCGAACGGGUGAGUAACGCGUGGGGAAUCUGCCUUUGAGCGGGGGACAACAUUUGGAAACGAAUGCUAAUACCGCAUAACAACUUUAAACAUAAGUUUUAAGUUUGAAAGAUGCAAUUGCAUCACUCAAAGAUGAUCCCGCGUUGUAUUAGCUAGUUGGUGAGGUAAAGGCUCACCAAGGCGAUGAUACAUAGCCGACCUGAGAGGGUGAUCGGCCACAUUGGGACUGAGACACGGCCCACACUCCUACGGGAGGCAGCAGUAGGGAAUCUUCGGCAAUGGACGAAAGUCUGACCGAGCAACGCCGCGUGAGUGAAGAAGGGUUUCGGAUCGUAAAACUCUGUUGGUAGAGAAGAACGUUGGUGAGAGUGGAAAGCUCAUCAAGUGACGGUAACUACCCAGAAAGGGACGGCUAACUACGUG
RNAcentral lists this ribosomal RNA (497 nucleotides) under uncultured bacterium. Its description in RNAcentral is "partial 16S ribosomal RNA". It matches the Rfam family "Bacterial small subunit ribosomal RNA", at positions 28 to 507 of the family's 1533-position model. The record is from RNAcentral.